Molecule: unclassified non-coding RNA, 283 nt
Filed under: uncultured fungus
Lineage: Eukaryota; Fungi
Description: partial contains small subunit ribosomal RNA, internal transcribed spacer 1, and 5.8S ribosomal RNA
Rfam family: Eukaryotic small subunit ribosomal RNA (bases 1-73)
Source: RNAcentral
GCAAACUUGGUCAUUUAGAGGAAGUAAAAGUCGUAACAAGGUUUCCGUAGGUGAACCUGCGGAAGGAUCAUUAGCGAAAUCCAAAUUGGUCGGUGUCCCGGCGCUGAAAGGGUCGGGCCCGUCCAUCAUCUCACACACCUUUGUCGAACCGUAGGGAGAGCGGCCAACGCCGAUCUCCCGCCUUUUCAUACUCUUAAAGUCUGAGAAUGAAGUCUUGGUGAAAACCAAAAAUACAAUUUUCAACAACGGAUCUCUUGGCUCUCGCAUCGAUGAAGAACGCAGC